RNAcentral lists this ribosomal RNA (497 nucleotides) under uncultured bacterium. Its description in RNAcentral is "partial 16S ribosomal RNA". It matches the Rfam family "Bacterial small subunit ribosomal RNA", at positions 28 to 507 of the family's 1533-position model. The record is from RNAcentral.
GACGAACGCUGGCGGCGUGCCUAAUACAUGCCAGUUGAGCGCUGAAGGUUGGUACUUGUACCAACUGGAUGAGCAGCGAACGGGUGAGUAACGCGUGGGGAAUCUGCCUUUGAGCGGGGGACAACAUUUGGAAACGAAUGCUAAUACCGCAUAAAAACUUUAAACACAAGUUUUAAGUUUGAAAGAUGCAAUUGCAUCACUCAAAGAUGAUCCCGCGUUGUAUUAGCUAGUUGGUGAGGUAAAGGCUCACCAAGGCGAUGAUACAUAGCCGACCUGAGAGGGUGAUCGGCCACAUUGGGACUGAGACACGGCCCAAACUCCUGCGGGAGGCAGCAGUAGGGAAUCUUCGGCAAUGGACGAAAGUCUGACCGAGCAACGCCGCGUGAGUGAAGAAGGUUUUCGGAUCGUAAAACUCUGUUGGUAGAGAAGAACGUUGGUGAGAGUGGAAAGCUCAUCAAGUGACGGUAACUACACAGAAAGGGACGGCUAACUACGUG